UCCCGUAGGAGUCCGGGCGGAGUCUUCCUUGCAACAGAAGUCGUGGACGGAGCCCAGCUCCCGUUGGAGUCCGGGCGGAGUCUCCCUUGCAGUAGAAGUCGUGGACGGAGCGGCGGGAGUUCACCAACAGUAGUCGAAAGUACAGAGGGUCGAUCCCGCCAAGAACUUCGGCCGAGGGAAUUUUAUACCCAACACCAGUCCCCCCACUUU
RNAcentral lists this long non-coding RNA (210 nucleotides) under Elaeis guineensis (African oil palm). RNAcentral describes it as "long non-coding RNA (EGUI_LNC050471)". The record is from RNAcentral. Lineage: Eukaryota; Viridiplantae; Streptophyta; Magnoliopsida; Arecales; Arecaceae.